This 145-nucleotide ribosomal RNA is filed under the name Pleurotus djamor. RNAcentral's name for it is "partial 28S ribosomal RNA". It matches the Rfam family "Eukaryotic large subunit ribosomal RNA", at positions 1 to 142 of the family's 3401-position model. The record is from RNAcentral. Lineage: Eukaryota; Fungi; Basidiomycota; Agaricomycetes; Agaricales; Pleurotaceae.
UUUGACCUCAAAUCAGGUAGGACUACCCGCUGAACUUAAGCAUAUCAAUAAGCGGAGGAAAAGAAACUAACAAGGAUUCCCCUAGUAACUGCGAGUGAAGCGGGAAAAGCUCAAAUUUAAAAUCUGGUGGUCUUUGGCCAUCCGA